GACGAACGCUGGCGGCGUGCUUAACACAUGCAAGUCGAACGGAAAGGCCCUGCUUUUGUGGGGUGCUCGAGUGGCGAACGGGUGAGUAACACGUGAGUAACCUGCCCUUGACUUUGGGAUAACUUCAGGAAACUGGGGCUAAUACCGGAUAGGAGCUCCUGCUGCAUGGUGGGGGUUGGAAAGUUUCGGCGGUUGGGGAUGGACUCGCGGCUUAUCAGCUUGUUGGUGGGGUAGUGGCUUACCAAGGCUUUGACGGGUAGCCGGCCUGAGAGGGUGACCGGCCACAUUGGGACUGAGAUACGGCCCAGACUCCUACGGGAGGCAGCAGUGGGGAAUAUUGCACAAUGGGCGGAAGCCUGAUGCAGCAACGCCGCGUGCGGGAUGACGGCCUUCGGGUUGUAAACCGCUUUCGCCUGUGACGAAGCGUGAGUGACGGUAAUGGGUAAAGAAGCACCGGCUAACUACGUGCCAGCAGCCGCGGUGAUACGUAGGGUGCGAGCGUUGUCCGGAUUUAUUGGGCGUAAAGGGCUCGUAGGUGGUUGAUCGCGUCGGAAGUGUAAUCUUGGGGCUUAACCCUGAGCGUGCUUUCGAUACGGGUUGACUUGAGGAAGGUAGGGGAGAAUGGAAUUCCUGGUGGAGCGGUGGAAUGCGCAGAUAUCAGGAGGAACACCAGUGGCGAAGGCGGUUCUCUGGGCCUUUCCUGACGCUGAGGAGCGAAAGCGUGGGGAGCGAACAGGCUUAGAUACCCUGGUAGUCCACGCUGUAAACGGUGGGUACUAGGUGUGGGGUCCAUUCCACGGGUUCCGUGCCGUAGCUAACGCUUUAAGUACCCCGCCUGGGGAGUACGGCCGCAAGGCUAAAACUCAAAGGAAUUGACGGGGCCCCGCACAAGCGGCGGAGCAUGCGGAUUAAUUCGAUGCAACGCGUAGAACCUUACCUGGGUUUGACAUGGAUCGGGAGUGCUCAGAGAUGGGUGUGCCUCUUUUGGGGUCGGUUCACAGGUGGUGCAUGGCUGUCGUCAGCUCGUGUCGUGAGAUGUUGGGUUAAGUCCCGCAACGAGCGCAACCCUUGUUCACUGUUGCCAGCACGUUAUGGUGGGGACUCAGUGGAGACCGCCGGGGUCAACUCGGAGGAAGGUGGGGAUGACGUCAAGUCAUCAUGCCCCUUAUGUCCAGGGCUUCACGCAUGCUACAAUGGCUGGUACAGAGAGUGGCGAGCCUGUGAGGGUGAGCGAAUCUCGGAAAGUCGGUCUCAGUUCGGAUUGGGGUCUGCAAUUCGACCUCAUGAAGUCGGAGUCGCUAGUAAUCGCAGAUCAGCAACGCUGCGGUGAAUACGUUCCCGGGGCU
This 1346-nucleotide ribosomal RNA is filed under the name uncultured bacterium. Its description in RNAcentral is "partial 16S ribosomal RNA". It matches the Rfam family "Bacterial small subunit ribosomal RNA", at positions 28 to 1381 of the family's 1533-position model. The record is from RNAcentral.